GAUUAUGGCUCAGGACGAACGCUGGCGGUGUGCCUCAUACAUGCAAGUCGAACGAUAAGGCUCCUUCGGGAAUACAUAAGUGGCGGACGGGUGAGUACAACAUAGGAAAUCUGCCUUAAGCUGGGGGACAACAGAGGGAAACUCCUGCUAAUACCCCAUAUGAGCUUAGUUGAAAUACUAAUCUUGAAAGCUCCGGCGGCUUAAGAUGAGCCUGUGCCUGAUUAGCUAGUUGGUGGUGUAAUGGACUACCAAGGCGACGAUCAGUAGCUGGUUUGAGAGGAUGAUCAGCCACAAUGGGACUGAGACACGGCCCAUACUCCUACGGGAGGCAGCAGUAGGGAAUUUUGCGCAAUGAGGGAAAAACCCCUGACGCAGCAACACCGCGUGAAUGUUAAGCCCUUCGGGGUGUAAAGUUCUGUCAGUAGGGAAGAACAAAUGACUGUACCUACAAAGGAAGCACCGGCUAACUCCGUGCCAGCCGCCGC
This 485-nucleotide ribosomal RNA is filed under the name uncultured bacterium. RNAcentral describes it as "bacterial SSU rRNA". It matches the Rfam family "Bacterial small subunit ribosomal RNA", at positions 15 to 518 of the family's 1533-position model. The record is from RNAcentral.